GCCGCUUUGUUGUUGCCGAGGCCUCAGACCGCGGCUUCCAGGCAUGGCUGUCUGGGUGUUCUGCAACCGCUGUUUCCAGCCCCCCGGCAAGUCCUCCUCGCAGUUCAGCCUGACGAGCUGCGGCCACGUGUUCUGCCACCUCUGCCUCCAGCAAGAUAUCAGAAUUUCAAGAAAAACACAGGAGGAGGUUGUUAGCAUUCUAUAGAGAAAAGGAUCUACUCUUCUUGGAGGAAGCACACUGGGAAGAUGAUUGUGGUUUUUGUGAUGAUUCAAGUGGAUUCCUCUGUCAACAUUUGUCUAUCAGCCUUUGCAUGUUGUGCCUGUUUUUCUCGAUGCUACAAUUAAGUGG
Molecule: long non-coding RNA, 349 nt
Filed under: Vombatus ursinus (common wombat)
Lineage: Eukaryota; Metazoa; Chordata; Mammalia; Diprotodontia; Vombatidae
Description: lncRNA (ENSVURG00010021182.1)
Source: RNAcentral